UACGGAGGGUGCGAGCGUUGUCCGGAAGCAUUGGGCGUAAAGGGCGCGUAGGUGGCGGGACAAGCGUGCGGUGAAAGCCUGGGGCUCAACCCCGGGUCGGCCGUGCGAACUGUUUUGCUUGAGCACUGUAGAGGCAGGCGGAAUUCCGGGUGUAGCGGUGGAAUGCGUAGAGAUCCGGAAGAACACCGGUGGCGAAGGCGGCCUGCUGGGCAGUAGCUGACACUGAGGCGCGACAGCGUGGGGAGCAAACAGG
RNAcentral lists this ribosomal RNA (253 nucleotides) under uncultured bacterium. RNAcentral describes it as "partial 16S ribosomal RNA". It matches the Rfam family "Bacterial small subunit ribosomal RNA", at positions 524 to 776 of the family's 1533-position model. The record is from RNAcentral.